ACUGCUCAGUAACACGUGGAUAACCUGCCCUUGGGUUCGGCAUAACCCCGGGAAACUGGGGAUAAUUCCGGAUAACGCACAUAUGCUGGAAUGCUUUAUGCGUAAAAUGGAUUCGUCUGCCCAAGGAUGGAUCUGCGGCCUAUCAGGUAGUAGUGGGUGUAAUGUACCUACUAGCCAACAACGGGUACGGGUUGUGAGAGCAAGAGCCCGGAGAUGGAUUCUGAGACAUGAAUCCAGGCCCUACGGGGCGCAGCAGGCGCGAAAACUUUACAAUGCGGGAAACCGUGAUAAGGGGACACCGAGUGCCAGCAUCAUAUGCUGGCUGUCCGGGUGUGUAAAAUACACCCGUUAGCAAGGGCCGGGCAAGACCGGUGCCAGCCGCCGCGGUAACACCGGCGGCCCGAGUGGUGAUCGUGAUUAUUGGGUCUAAAGGGUCCGUAGCCGGUUUGGUCAGUCCUCCGGGAAAUCUGACGGCUCAACCGUUAGGCUUUCGGGGGAUACUGCCAGGCUUGGAACCGGGAGAGGUAAGAGGUACUACAGGGGUAGGAGUGAAAUCUUGUAAUCCCUGUGAGACCACCUGUGGCGAAGGCGUCUUACCAGAACGGGUUCGACGGUGAGGGACGAAAGCUGGGGGCACGAACCGGAUUAGAUACCCGGGUAGUCCCAGCCGUAAACGAUGCUCGCUAGGUGUCAGGCAUGGCGCGACCGUGUCUGGUGCCGCAGGGAAGCCGUGAAGCGAGCCACCUGGGAAGUACGGCCGCAAGGCUGAAACUUAAAGGAAUUGGCGGGGGAGCACA
Molecule: ribosomal RNA, 797 nt
Filed under: uncultured Methanosarcinaceae archaeon
Lineage: Archaea; Methanobacteriati; Methanobacteriota; Methanomicrobia; Methanosarcinales; Methanosarcinaceae
Description: bacterial SSU rRNA
Rfam family: Archaeal small subunit ribosomal RNA
Source: RNAcentral